GACGAACGCUGGCGGCGUGCCUAAUACAUGCAAGUCGGACGGACCUUGCUUGGACGGAGUGGAGUACUUGUACAAAGCGAAGACUAAGCGCUGGUUAGUGGCGAACGGGUGAGUAACACGUAGGUAACCUACCGAUAAGACGAGGACAACUCAUGGAAACGUGAGCUAAUACUGGAUAUGGUAUAGGGAAGGCAUCUUUCUUAUAUUAAAGGAGCUUCUGGCUUCACUUAUUGAUGGACCUGCGGCGUAUUAGCUAGUUGGUGGGAUAGCAGCCUACCAAGGCGAUGAUACGUAGCCGAUCUGAGAGGAUAAACGGCCACACUGGGACUGAGAUACGGCCCAGACUCCUACGGGAGGCAGCAGUAGGGAAUUUUCCACAAUGGACGAAAGUCUGAUGGAGCAACGCCGCGUGUGUGAAGAAGGUUUUCGGAUUGUAAAGCACUGUUGUAUGGGAAGAAUAAGGUGAGAAGGAAAUGGCUCAUUGANGACG
This 490-nucleotide ribosomal RNA is filed under the name uncultured bacterium. RNAcentral describes it as "bacterial SSU rRNA". It matches the Rfam family "Bacterial small subunit ribosomal RNA", at positions 28 to 474 of the family's 1533-position model. The record is from RNAcentral.